UAACGCGUGGGUAACCUGCCUCACACAGGGGGAUAACAGUUGGAAACGACCGCUAAUACCGCAUAAGCGCACGAAGCCGCAUGGAUUUGUGUGAAAAACUCCGGUGGUGUAAGAUGGACCCGCGUCUGAUUAGCUUGUUGGCGGGGUAACGGCCCACCAAGGCGACGAUCAGUAGCCGGCCUGAGAGGGUGGACGGCCACAUUGGGACUGAGACACGGCCCAAACUCCUACGGGAGGCAGCAGUGGGGGAUAUUGGACAAUGGGGGGAACCCUGAUCCAGCGACGCCGCGUGAGUGAAGAAGUAUUUCGGUAUGUAAAGCUCUGUCAGCAGGGAAGAAAGAAAUGACGGUACCUGACCAAGAAGCCCCGGCUAACUACGUGCCAGCAGCCGCGGUAAUACGUAGGGGGCAAGCGUUAUCCGGAAUUACUGGGUGUAAAGGGAGCGUAGACGGUUAAGUAAGUCUGGAGUGAAAGGCCGGGGCCCAACCCCGGGACUGCUCUGGAAACUAUUGAACUUGAGUGCAGGAGAGGUAAGCGGAAUUCCUAGUGUAGCGGUGAAAUGCGUAGAUAUUAGGAGGAACACCAGUGGCGAAGGCGGCUUACUGGACUGUAACUGACGUUGAGGCUCGAAAGCGUGGGGAGCAAACAGGAUUAGAUACCCUGGUAGU
RNAcentral lists this ribosomal RNA (668 nucleotides) under uncultured bacterium. RNAcentral's name for it is "bacterial SSU rRNA". It matches the Rfam family "Bacterial small subunit ribosomal RNA", at positions 111 to 794 of the family's 1533-position model. The record is from RNAcentral.